UAUUACUCUUGUUGGGCUUUUGAUUUUAAGAUCUGAGAUGCCAAUUUGUGUCUAUGGUAUGCGCUGUGUUUGUAUAAACCUUGUUGUGUUUCUGUAGACUAGGGAAUAUGGGAAUAGCUUGAUUUUUUUCUUGUAGAAUUAAACUCAUGGAAGAACAUAAUAGGAACUGAAAGUAAAAUUACCAGUAAAAGAGAAAUCUGCUUUUGAGAUUUUGUAAAGAUGGAUGUAAACGCAGAGAUAAUGAAAAAAAAGAAUUACUGAAUGUGGUAUAUAUGUAUAUAGUUGAAAAAAAGAAUUUUAUUUUAAACUAAAUUUUAAAAUAAAAAUAUCGAAAUUGAUAAUUAAGGAAGAUAAAAAUAAAAUAAAUCUGAGAUGGGUAAAAUAAGGUUUAUAAACAUUUAAAUUAAAGAGACAUUUCAACUUAUACUAAAAUUUGGCUCAAAAGAGCUUAAAUUCUGAAAAAUAAAAAUCCAAAUCAUAAAAAUACUAAAAUAGUUAACGGGUUAUUACAACUCAUCAUCGCCGGAAUUCGAUUAUUUGUUUAAAGUUGCUAGUUGGAGAUUCUGGGGCUGGGAAAAGUAGUCUUUGGCUGAGUUUAACAUCUGAUGCUUUCGAGGAGCUCUCUCCCACACAAUAUCUUCUUCGUGUUGUUUAAUCUGGAUAUUCUCGUGUUUUUCAAUCAUAUGAUUCCUCUAAGUUUGUGCAUAAUAUGUUCAGUUUAGUUAAUGUGGUGGGAAUAGGAAAUUUCAAUGUGGAGAUUUUGAUAUUUUGUGUAGGGUCUUGAUUGAAAGGAUUGAGGAAUUGUUGUGGUUAUUGACAUAGCUAAUGGGUUCAUCGCAACUCCACUUUCUUUCACUCGUUUUUACCUCGAAAUCCUUAAUAUUGUAUUUUAAUUUAUUAUAGUCGUUUCCAGUCACUGUGUUCAACUCUCCUCUUCUCAGAUACCGCAUGGCUGCACGCGUCGCCACCUCCGCUGCCAAGCGCUGCCUUCCGAUGUUUCCUUCUCUCUAUUGCCAACAUGUUCGAUCUAGCAAUUGUUUCUUGGGCCCCAGAAUCGGAACCCUAAUUCAACAGACCAGCAGAGAGUGGGAAAGUAGGAAGGGGGGUUCGACGAGAAUCUAUGGUGCCGCACCUUAUUGGAAAAAGCUUGUGCCCCUAGGUAAUGAGGCAAUUGUUCCCUGCAUAUCCGAGACAAAACAUACGUCUUCCUAUGGACUCUCGGAUCACUUUUUU
Long non-coding RNA from Salvia miltiorrhiza (redroot sage), 1233 nucleotides. RefSeq lists it as uncharacterized. The transcript has 3 exons. The record is from RefSeq and is a predicted model, not a curated record. NCBI's taxonomy places the organism in Eukaryota, Viridiplantae, Streptophyta, Magnoliopsida, Lamiales, Lamiaceae.